Molecule: ribosomal RNA, 253 nt
Filed under: uncultured bacterium
Lineage: Bacteria
Description: partial 16S ribosomal RNA
Rfam family: Bacterial small subunit ribosomal RNA
Source: RNAcentral
UACGUAGGGGGCAAGCGUUAUCCGGAAUUACUGGGUGUGAAGGGAGCGUAGACGGUGAUGUAAGUCUGGAGUGAAAGGCGGGGGCCCAACCCCCGGACUGCUCUGGAAACUAUAUGACUGGAGUGCAGGAGAGGUGAGCGGAAUUCCUAGUGUAGCGGUGAAAUGCGUAGAUAUUAGGAGGAACACCAGUGGCGAAGGCGGCUCACUGGACUGUAACUGACGUUGAGGCUCGAAAGCGUGGGGAGCAAACAGG